This 520-nucleotide unclassified non-coding RNA is filed under the name uncultured Glomus. Its description in RNAcentral is "SSU rRNA". It matches the Rfam family "Eukaryotic small subunit ribosomal RNA", at positions 569 to 1088 of the family's 1831-position model. The record is from RNAcentral. Lineage: Eukaryota; Fungi; Glomeromycota; Glomeromycetes; Glomerales; Glomeraceae.
AGCAGCCGCGGUAAUUCCAGCUCCAAUAGCGUAUAUUAAAGUUGUUGCAGUUAAAAAAGCUCGUAGUUGAAUUUCGGGAUCAAUACGUUGGUCGUGCUUUCGGGUACGUACUGGCGUCAUUGGUUUCUCUCUUCUGACGAACCAUGAUGUCAUUAAUUUGGUGUUAUGGGGAGUUAGGACUGUUACUUUGAAAAAAUUAGAGUGUUUAAAGCAGGCAUUAGCUUGAAUACAUUAGCAUGGAAUAAUGAAAUAGGACGUUUGAUCCUAUUUUGUUGGUUUCUAGGAUCGACGUAAUGAUUAAUAGGGAUAGUUGGGGGCAUUAGUAUUCAAUUGUCAGAGGUGAAAUUCUUGGAUUAUUGAAGACUAACUACUGCGAAAGCAUUUGCCAAGGAUGUUUUCAUUAAUCAAGAACGAAAGUUAGGGGAUCGAAGACGAUCAGAUACCGUCGUAGUCUUAACCAUAAACUAUGCCGACUAGGGAUCGGAUGAUGUUAAUUUUUUUAAUGACUCAUUCGGCGCCU